Molecule: long non-coding RNA, 901 nt
Organism: Canis lupus familiaris (dog)
Lineage: Eukaryota; Metazoa; Chordata; Mammalia; Carnivora; Canidae
Exons: 3
Source: RefSeq, a predicted model, not a curated record
UAUGGCAAAUCUCAUCCAUUCUUGCACUUCCUGAACCCUGGAUCCUCUCCCUUCAUGACUCUGGAAACAAGUAACAGAAUCAAUCAGAAGUGGAUUCAAGAUUAAAAAGGUGCUUUAUAAUAAGUAAAAAUGACUGGUAUCAUCUACAGCCUGGAACUCAGAGAUAAAGGACACCGGAUUGAAGACUGAGAGUGGGCCCAGGCUUGGGUUCCCCAUCAUGCCUUCUAUUCUGAGUCUAAGAGAGAGGGUCAUCCCUCAAGAGCUGUAGACUUUUUACAGCAAAGCCUGUUGGAGGAAACUGUGGUUGCCAAACAAAACUGUGGCUCCCCUCACCACCCAGACUCUUGUAACCUCCCGGGUCGGCCUUUGCACUUCCCCACCAAGAAGCAAAAACACACCAUCUGCUUUAAAAGAAGCACUCAUCGGAGCCAACCUUGAAGAACACAGAGUCAGAGGGAAGACAUGAGUAGUGAGAGAACCGACAGCUGGACGGGCCACGUGGCGCUUGGAACUCCUCCUUAAGUCAUUCCUCUUGCUUUGUUCCUUCGGAGAAGAAGGCUGCCUCAGACUCUACUUUUCUCCCUGGUUUGGCUUCCAAGGUAGGCAAGUGUCCUGUACCACAGAGCGCCUGAGUUAAUGAUUCAUCUAACUGGGGUAAAAGCCAUGUGCCAGUGCAACGCUUCAUCUUAUUCUAUUUUUGCAACCUAGUCAGCUCUUGGACACUGAUGACCAAGCUCAAGGUUGUGUCCCUGGACUAUCUAGAACACGUGGAUAUGUUAGGUUCGCUGUGCUGCAAGGAGCAAUAGAGACCUUCCCUUUUUAAUAGCACUGUGAUUUUUAUUGAUAACCCUGAAAGGAAAAAAAAAAAAGAAAAAAGUGACUCAAAGAGACAAGAAAGCAU